Molecule: ribosomal RNA, 570 nt
Filed under: uncultured bacterium OSW4
Lineage: Bacteria
Description: bacterial SSU rRNA
Rfam family: Bacterial small subunit ribosomal RNA
Source: RNAcentral
GAUCCUGGCUCAGAUUGAACGCUGGCGGCAGGCUUAACACAUGCAAGUCGAGCGGGCGAGGUUGCUUCGGUAACUGAGCUAGCGGCGGACGGGUGAGUAAUGCUUAGGAAUCUGCCUAUUAGUGGGGGACAACAUCUCGAAAGGGAUGCUAAUACCGCAUACGUCCUACGGGAGAAAGCAGGGGACCUUCGGGCCUUGCGCUAAUAGAUGAGCCUAAGUCGGAUUAGCUAGUUGGUGGGGUAAAGGCCUACCAAGGCGACGAUCUGUAGCGGGUCUUGAGAGGAUGAUCCGCCACACUGGGACUGAGACACGGCCCACGAUUCUUACGGGGAGGCAGCAGUGGGGAAUAUUGGACAAUGGGGGGAACCCUGAUCCAGCCAUGCCGCGUGUGUGAAGAAGGCCUUUUGGUUGUAAAGCACUUUAAGCGAGGAGGAGGCUACCGAGAUUAAUACUCUUGGAUAGUGGACGUUACUCGCAGAAUAAGCACCGGCUAACUYUGUGCCAGCAGCCGCGGUAAUACAGAGGGUGCAAGCGUUAAUCGGAUUUACUGGGCGUAAAGCGCACGCAGGA